This 1376-nucleotide long non-coding RNA is filed under the name Heterocephalus glaber (naked mole-rat). Its description in RNAcentral is "lncRNA (ENSHGLG00000037258.1)". Lineage: Eukaryota; Metazoa; Chordata; Mammalia; Rodentia; Bathyergidae. The record is from RNAcentral.
GUCAUGGCUAAUUGUGCUAUUAGGAGGUGGGGCCAAGUCAGAGGGGGCAAGUCACUUAAGUGUGACCUGGAGAGGUGUAUUCUUGUCCCUGGCUUCUCCCUUCUCUCUCUGCUUCAUAGCCACCAUGACACGAGCAGGUUUUUGUCUGCUAUCUGCUGCACCAUUUCUGCCUUGGAGCCAGCCAACUAUAGAUUGGACCCUCUGAAACCAUCAACCUGUAUCUCCUGUGUAGAGCCUCCUUUCAUUCCCAAUGUGUUUCCUAUCGUCCUACCCACACCCCACAGCUCUCUUAGGGUGAUACAGGUUAUAUGCUGGUCCUGUUUACUCCCAGGCUUUUAAGGAGGCAUCGUGGGGGGUAAAAUACGCCCACAUUGUACUUUUGUGAUGUAAAUAAGUACAUUGCAUAAUGGUAACUGGGUGUGGCUUUCAGUAGCUGUGCCUGGGGAAAACAGGAACCCAUCUGUGCAUUCACCUAUUUGGCAGACAAAAGACAACGUAUAUACAGGAGUGCCAAAGUAGCAGCAGAAUUACCCCAAAUCAGUACAAUGGCACAUGAAAAACCAGAUUUGCAAAUUUUGGGGGAGGUCGAAAGUGAAUCAUCAAGUGACUCAUCCACCGAUGUUGAUGACAUUGAUAUUGACCAUUUGAGCCAAAGAUCCUGUGACAGUGAAGCGGACCAAGAAUUGACUGAUACAGACACAAGGAAUGAAAACCUCUUUGAUUCACAUGAUGAAGAAAACAUCAACAUACCAAAAACUGGAACCCUAAAUGAAGGACACCCAUAGCGGAAUGAGCCCAGAGACAGGGACACUGAACCAGUGCUUUAGAAAACCAGAUCUGCCUCAUUCCCUGGGACCGCGGUCAAGGUUGAAAGCCGCCUUCACAUCGUCAGAGGUCUUUGGAAGCCAGCAGGGAGGACGCCUCCAGCACGGGAGGACAUCUUGGCCGGCCCGCCUCUGCAGAGCACAGACAGAAGCGAGAAACGGGCUCACCUCUUCUUCAUCUCUCAGAGACGACGACAUUGAACGGAUGAGGGGCUGACGUGAGGCCGAGAUCUCCCCGUGAGGACGGGCUCCACAGCGUCCUCAGGCAGGGAGAAUGUGAAGCUCUGCAGCAGGCUCACAAACAUCAGGAACAGCUCCAUCUUGGCCAGCUGCUCGCCCAUGCACACCCGCUUCCCUGGAGAGGGAGAGAUCUCGGACAUGGGCCCGCUUCCUACUUCAGAGAGUACAAAUUCUUUGUUUGUUUUCUUUGGAGUCAGGGUCACCCUAUGUAGUUCAGGCUGGCCUUGAACUCACUAUGUAAGUCAGGCUGGCCUCCAACUCAUGCGAUCCUCCUGCCUCAGCCUCCCAAGUGCUGGGACGACCUGGCAGAAG